UUGGGUGUCUACGGUCGCAAGACUAAAACUCAAAGGAAUUGACGGGGACCCGCACAAGCGGUGGAGCAUGUGGUUUAAUUCGAUGCAACGCGAAAAACCUUACCACUUCUUGACAUGGAGAUUAGAUCCUUCUUAACGGAAGGGCGCAGUUCGGCUGGAUCUCGCACAGGUGCUGCAUGGCUGUCGUCAGCUCGUGUCGUGAGAUGUUGGGUUAAGUCCCGCAACGAGCGUAACCCUCAUCCUUAGUUGCCAGCGGGUUAUGCCGGGCACUUUAAGGAAACUGCCAGUGGUAAACUGGAGGAAGGUGGGGAUGAUGUCAAGUCAGCACGGCCCUUAUGGGGGGGGCUACACACGUGCUACAAUGGUGACUACAAUAGGUUGCAAUGUCGCAAGGCUGAGCUAAUCCGUAAAAGUCAUCUCAGUUCGGAUUGUCCUCUGUAACUCGAGGGCAUGAAGGCGGAAUCGCUAGUAAUCGUGGAUCAGCAUGCCACGGAGAAUACCUUCUCGGGUCUUGUACACACUGCCCGUCACGCCAUGGGAAUUGGCUUAACUCGAAGCUGGUGCGCUAACCGAAAGGAA
RNAcentral lists this ribosomal RNA (579 nucleotides) under Anaplasma phagocytophilum. RNAcentral describes it as "bacterial SSU rRNA". It matches the Rfam family "Bacterial small subunit ribosomal RNA", at positions 874 to 1448 of the family's 1533-position model. The record is from RNAcentral. Lineage: Bacteria; Pseudomonadati; Pseudomonadota; Alphaproteobacteria; Rickettsiales; Anaplasmataceae.